AAGGACGCGUAGGCGGAUUAUCAAGUCUUUUGUGAAAUCUAACAGCUUAACUGUUAAACUGCUUGAGAAACUGAUAAUCUAGAGUGAGGGAGAGGCAGAUGGAAUUGGUGGUGUAGGGGUAAAAUCCGUAGAGAUCACCAGGAAUACCCAUUGCGAAGGCGAUCUGCUGGAACUCAACUGACGCUAAUGCGUGAAAGCGUGGGGAGCAAACAGGAUUAGAUACCCUGGUAGUCCACGCCCUAAACGAUGUAUACUAGUUGUUGCUGUGCUAGUCACGGCAGUAAUGCACCUAACGGAUUAAGUAUACCGCCUGGGGAGUACGGUCGCAAGAUUAAAACUCAAAGGAAUAGACGGGGACCCGCACAAGCGGUGGAGCAUGUGGUUUAAUUCGAAGAUACGCGAAGAACCUUACCUGGGCUUGAUAUCCAACUANUCUCUUAGAGAUAAGAGA
This 451-nucleotide ribosomal RNA is filed under the name Campylobacter fetus. RNAcentral describes it as "bacterial SSU rRNA". It matches the Rfam family "Bacterial small subunit ribosomal RNA", at positions 563 to 1013 of the family's 1533-position model. Lineage: Bacteria; Pseudomonadati; Campylobacterota; Epsilonproteobacteria; Campylobacterales; Campylobacteraceae. The record is from RNAcentral.